CACCCCUAAACAAUAUCCCCUUGCUGUCAUCCGCUCAGCAUCCUCACCAAGGCCCCGGAUGAACGGCCCUCAUCAGUGUCCCGUCAGAAGCACCCCCACUGUCUCUCCUCUCAGCAGUGGCCCCUCAUCAAGAUGCCCUCAGCGUCAUCUCCGCCACACCAACCUCCACUCAGCCUCUCCUCAGUAGCUCCCAUGCACUGUCUCCCCGCCCAUACGGCCUCACCAACACCCCGAGCAACACAGCCAAGAGUGCCCCAUGCCCGGUGCCUCCCAGAAGCACCCCUUGCCAACAUCUCCUGGCAGGCAUGCCCACAUCAUCACCAACGUCAGUCCACAGCAUCCCCUCAUGAAAUUCCCCUCACCAGUGUCUGCUCACCACCAAUCCUUCACCAACCCAUCCCCCUGAGCAACCUCGCACCAGUGUCCCAUGACCACCAUUCCCUUACCAACCUCCUCUUCCAAUGUCUCCUCACCAGCGUCCCUCAGAUAUGUCCCCUCUCCAGGGUUCCUUCAACAGUGUCUCCUCCAAGGGUCACCUGGACAACUUGCUCACACCAGUGUCACCUCACCACCACCCCUCUCAGGUGUGCCCCACUCCCUCAUCCUCAUGACUCACGAUUAUUACUGACAAGUAUCCCUUCACCGUCACCUUCUUACCAACUUUCCCAGACAACAUCCCCACACCGGGGUCCCCACACCAGGGUCCCCACACCAGGGUCCUCACACCUGCGUCCCCACACCAGGGUCCUCACACCUGCGUCCCCACACCAGGGUCCUCACACCAGGGUCCCCACACCAGGGUCCCCACACCAGGGUCCUCACACCAGGGUCCUCACACCUGCGUCCCCACACCAGGGUCCCCACACCAGGGUCCUCACACUUGCGUCCCCACACCAGGAUCCUCACACCAGGGUCCCCACACCAGGGUCCUCACACCAGGGUCCCCACACCAGGGUCCUCACACCAGGGUCCCCACACCAGGGUCCUCACACCAGGGUCCCCACACCAGGGUCCUCACACCAG
RNAcentral lists this long non-coding RNA (1023 nucleotides) under Heterocephalus glaber (naked mole-rat). Its description in RNAcentral is "lncRNA (ENSHGLG00000042457.1)". Lineage: Eukaryota; Metazoa; Chordata; Mammalia; Rodentia; Bathyergidae. The record is from RNAcentral.